AUACUUACCUGGCAGGGAGAUACCAUGAUCAUGAAGGUGGUUCGUUCCAGGCCAGGCCAGCCAGCAUUGCACUCGGCCAGCUGACCUGCCAAUCUCCCAAAUGUGGAACUUUAAUGCAUAAUUUGUGGCAGUGGGGAUCAGCGCCCGCGCCUCCUCUGA
This is a small nuclear RNA of Hippoglossus stenolepis (Pacific halibut), 159 nucleotides long. RefSeq annotates it as U1 spliceosomal RNA. The record is from RefSeq and is a predicted model, not a curated record. Lineage: Eukaryota; Metazoa; Chordata; Actinopteri; Pleuronectiformes; Pleuronectidae. The transcript has a single exon.